AGACUGCUUUGAACAUCGACCUCUUGAACGCACAUUGCGGCCGUAGGCUUGCCUACGGCCACGUCUGGCCGAGGGUCGGCU
Molecule: ribosomal RNA, 81 nt
Filed under: Ligula sp. CN3Nt
Lineage: Eukaryota; Metazoa; Platyhelminthes; Cestoda; Diphyllobothriidea; Diphyllobothriidae
Description: partial 5.8S ribosomal RNA
Rfam family: 5.8S ribosomal RNA
About the family: 5.8S ribosomal RNA (5.8S rRNA) is a component of the large subunit of the eukaryotic ribosome. It is transcribed by RNA polymerase I as part of the 45S precursor that also contains 18S and 28S rRNA.
Source: RNAcentral